GGGGCCGAGAGGUUACCGAACCUUAUCAAACUCAGAAUGCCAGAUAAUUGAUGUACAGGAGUCAGACAGUGUGAGAUAAGUUUCAUUGUCGAAAGGGAAAGAGCCCAGACCCACAGCUAAGGUCCCAAAAUAUAGUUAAGUGGAAAAGGAUGUGGGGGUGCACAGACAACCAGGAUGUUGGCUCAGAAGCAGCCAUUCAUUAAAAGAGUGCGUAAUAGCUCACUGGUCGAGUGCCCCUGCGCCGAAGAUUUAACGGGGCUAAACUAUAUACCGAAGCUUGGGAUGCAGUAAUGCAUGGUAGGAGAGCGUUGUAUGCGGGGUGAAGUCAGAGCGAAAGCGCUGGUGGACUGCAUACAAGUGAGAAUGCCGGAAUGAGUAGCGAGAAAUAUGUGAGAAUCAUAUUGGCCGAAAGUCUAAGGUUUUAGGAGGAAGGUUCGUCCGCUCCUAGUAAGCCGGGAGCUAAGGUGAGGCCGAAAGGCGUAGCCGAUGCACAUACGGUAGAAAUUCCGUAGCCACCGAAAGAUUUAAGCAAGAGGACACCCAGAAAGAGCAUAACCCGGGCGUUGGUUGACCCGGGCGUAAGGGACUGAAAUUAGAGUAGGGAAGUAUGCGUGGACUGGGGCGAGAAAAGUCUUGUGAAUAUCUAAGGUGCCCGUACCACAAACCGACACAGGUAGAUAGGAAGAGAAUUCUAAGGCCAACGGGAGAAGGGUUGUUAAGGAACUCGGCAAGUUGACCCCGUAACUUCGGGAGAAGGGGUGCUCAUGAAAGUGAGCCGCAGAGAAUAGGCCCAAGCAACUGUUUAGCAAAAACACAGGUCUGUGCUAAAUCGAAAGAUGACGUAUACGGGCUGACACCUGCCCGGUGCUGGAAGGUUAAGGGGAUGUGUGCAAGCACUGAACCGAAGCCCCAGUAAACGGCGGCCGUAACUAUAACGGUCCUAAGGUAGCGAAAUUCCUUGUCAGGUAAGUUCUGACCCGCACGAAAGGCGUAACGAUUUGGGCGCUGUCUCAGCUGUAGACUCGGUGAAGUCUUAGUACCUGUGAAGAUGCAGGUUACCCGCGACUAGACGGAAAGACCCCAUGGAGCUUUACUGUAGCUUGAUAUUGGACUUUGAUGCAAGAUGUACAGGAUAGGUAGGAGACUGAGAGACAUGCACGCCAGUGUGUGAGGAGUCAAUGUUGGGAUACUACUCUUCUUGUAUUGGAGUUCUAACCGGAUGCCAUGGAACUGGCAACGGGACAGUGUCAGGUGGGCAGUUUGACUGGGGCGGUCGCCUCCCAAAGAGUAACGGAGGCGCCCAAAGAUACCCUCAGCUUGGAUGGAAAUCAAGCGCAGAGUGCAAAGGCAUAAGGGUGUUUGACUGCGAGACCUACAAGUCGAGCAGGGACGAAAGUCGGGCUUAGUGAUCCGGUGGUUCCGCAUGGAAGGGCCAUCGCUCAACGGAUAAAAGCUACCCUGGGGAUAACAGGCUUAUCUCCCCCAAGAGUCCACAUCGACGGGGAGGUUUGGCACCUCGAUGUCGGCUCAUCGCAUCCUGGGGCUGUAGUCGGUCCCAAGGGUUGGGCUGUUCGCCCAUUAAAGCGGUACGCGAGCUGGGUUCAGAACGUCGUGAGACAGUUCGGUCCCUAUCUGUCGUGGGCGUAGGAAGUUUGAGAAGAUCUGUCCUCAGUACGAGAGGACCGGGAUGGACAUAUCAAUGGUGCACCAGUUGUCACGCCAGUGGCACAGCUGGGUAGCUAAAUAUGGAAGGGAUAAACGCUGAAGGCAUCUAAGUGUGAAACCCACUUCAAGAUGAGACUUCCCAUUACGCAAGUAAGUAAGACCCCUUAAAGACGAUAAGGUUGAUAGGUCAGGAGUGUAAGCAUGGCGACAUGUUCAGCGGACUGAUACUAAUAGGUCGAGGACUUAACCUA
Molecule: ribosomal RNA, 1916 nt
Filed under: human gut metagenome
Description: bacterial LSU rRNA
Rfam family: Bacterial large subunit ribosomal RNA
Source: RNAcentral